AACGCACGAGACCUGCGGACCUGCGGAAGGAUCAUUACCGAAUGGCCUCUGGGCCUUCACAAACCCCAUCAAACCUGUGGACCUCUCAGAGAGAGCGUGCUUCGGCGUCCCCUCGGCUCUGCCCGAGGGACGCCGCCUUCAUGCAGAUAGAUCGUCUUGUCUGAUUUUGAAACCAUGAGAAUUUAAAACUUUCAGCAAUGGAUCUCU
RNAcentral lists this unclassified non-coding RNA (207 nucleotides) under soil metagenome. Its description in RNAcentral is "partial contains 5.8S ribosomal RNA, internal transcribed spacer 2, and large subunit ribosomal RNA". The record is from RNAcentral.